Long non-coding RNA from Chenopodium quinoa (quinoa), 892 nucleotides. RefSeq lists it as uncharacterized. Lineage: Eukaryota; Viridiplantae; Streptophyta; Magnoliopsida; Caryophyllales; Amaranthaceae. The transcript has 3 exons. The record is from RefSeq and is a predicted model, not a curated record.
GUUUGGUAUGGGUUUUUUAUAGGGAUGGAAAUGGAAUUAGAUUACCGUUUCCGUUAGAAUAUGUUUGGUUAAGGAGUAAAGUAACAAAAAUUGUUUCUUGGUAAUAAACCAUUCCACCACUUUGUUUCCGGUGUAAAAACUGGACAAACAUAUCACGAUUCUAUCCUCUAACCCAAAAAAAACUCAACUCUACCCUUUCUCACUCCUCUUAUUCCAAAAUUCUCCAAAAAAAUUCCUAACUUUGAUUGAUCGAAUCUCCAGAUUUCGCUUAAUUUGAUCAAUUUUCUGACAUCAAAUCACCAAAUAUCAACCUUCUUAACCAUUACAGGUUUCUACAAUGCCUCGACUAAUGCAUUCUAUAGGGAAGAAAAGGCUCAAACAACUACAGGGUACGUACAGCAGAAGCCAAGCAGUUUGGAUAUUGGAAAUAUAAUGAAGACAUGGAGAAAAGAAUAAUCAUAGAUCAAAUAAAGCUAGAAGAAGACAAGGCUGAUAAGAAACUAGCUCAUAAGAAAGCUAAAGGGUUGUUUGGAGUUUCAAUUCAUUCAUUCACUAUGAUACUCUUGCGGAAAUAUACGCAAAAGACAAAGCUACCGGAGAUGCAAGUGAGUCGUUCGUUGAUGCUAUAGAAGAUAUGGACCAAGAGAUUGAUAAGAAACCAUGGAAUGUCGAGAGUGAUGAAAAAUGAUGUGAUUGAUCUUCUUAAGUAGAAAUUUUGUUCUAAGUUGUUGAAGUUAAUGUUUCAAUGAAUUUUGAAUGUUUUUUUUAAUGGUUAUUAGUGUUGUUCUACUUCUAUUGCAUAAUGUGUAGCAAUAAUUAGCAAAAACAACAAAAAAAAUUUAAGGAAACUAUUUCUUUCCAAGCUAUUUAUACUAAAUUAAAAAAGAGGAAA